CCUACGGGUGGCUGCAGUGGGGAAUAUUGGACAAUGGGGGCAACCCUGAUCCAGCCAUGCCGCGUGUGUGAAGAAGGCCCUCGGGUUGUAAAGCACUUUCAGUGAGGAAGAACGCCUGGUGGUUAAUACCCAUCAGGAAAGACAUCACUCACAGAAGAAGCACCGACUAACUCCGUGCCAGCAGCCGCGGUAAUACGGAGGGUGCGAGCGUUAAUCGGAAUUACUGGGCGUAAAGCGCGCGUAGGUGGCUUGAUAAGCCGGUUGUGAAAGCCCCGGGCUCAACCUGGGAACGGCAUCCGGAACUGUCAAGCUAGAGUGCAGGAGAGGAAGGUAGAAUUCCCGGUGUAGCGGUGAAAUGCGUAGAGAUCGGGAGGAAUACCAGUGGCGAAGGCGGCCUUCUGGACUGACACUGACACUGAGGUGCGAAAGCGUGGGUAGCAAACAGGAUUAGAUACCCUUGUAGGC
This 465-nucleotide ribosomal RNA is filed under the name Vreelandella stevensii. Its description in RNAcentral is "partial 16S ribosomal RNA". It matches the Rfam family "Bacterial small subunit ribosomal RNA", at positions 338 to 795 of the family's 1533-position model. Lineage: Bacteria; Pseudomonadati; Pseudomonadota; Gammaproteobacteria; Oceanospirillales; Halomonadaceae. The record is from RNAcentral.